GUCCUGGGCAGGGAAUCGAACCCCGGUCGCCCGCGCGACAGGCGGGAAUACUAACCACUAUACUACCGAGGA
This 72-nucleotide transfer RNA is filed under the name Cordylochernes scorpioides. RNAcentral's name for it is "tRNA-Asp". Lineage: Eukaryota; Metazoa; Arthropoda; Arachnida; Pseudoscorpiones; Chernetidae. The record is from RNAcentral.